RNAcentral lists this unclassified non-coding RNA (433 nucleotides) under soil metagenome. RNAcentral describes it as "partial contains 5.8S ribosomal RNA, internal transcribed spacer 2, and large subunit ribosomal RNA". The stretch from base 1 to 120 matches the Rfam family "5.8S ribosomal RNA", at positions 35 to 154 of the family's 154-position model. The record is from RNAcentral.
GAUGAAGAACGCAGCGAAAUGCGAUACGUAAUGUGAAUUGCAUAAUUCAGUGAAUCAUCGAAUCUUUGAACGCAUAUUGCGCUCUCUGGUAUUCCGGAGAGCAUGCUUGUUUGAGUAUCAGUAAACACCUCAACUUCCAUAUCUUUUUUGAAAUGGGAGUUGGACUUGAGUGAUCCCAACGCUUUUCCUCACCGAAAAGUGGCGGGUUACUUGAAAUGCAGGUGCAGCUGGACUUUUCUCUGAGCUAUAAGCAUAUCUAUUUAGUCUGCCUAAAAAACAGAUUAUUACCUUUGCUGCAGCUAACAUAAAGGAGAUUAGUUCUUGUGCUGACUGAUGCAGGAUUCACAAAGACAGGCUUCGGCCGACUUUGUAAACUCGAUCUCAAAUCAAGUAAGACUACCCGCUGAACUUAAGCAUAUCAAUAAGCGGAGGA